GUAAGGAGGGGGAUGAGGGGUCAUGUCUCUUCUCAGGGAAACAGGAGCCAUUCUGGAGCCCUUCAGCAGGGUCAGGGCCCCUCACCUUCCCCUCCUUUCCCAG
This 103-nucleotide microRNA precursor is filed under the name Mandrillus leucophaeus (drill). RNAcentral describes it as "miRNA (ENSMLEG00000012116.1)". Lineage: Eukaryota; Metazoa; Chordata; Mammalia; Primates; Cercopithecidae. The record is from RNAcentral.